AUUGAACGCUGGCGGCAUGCUUUACACAUGCAAGUCGAACGGCAGCGGGGUAGUGCUUGCACUACUGCCGGCGAGUGGCGAACGGGUGAGUAAUAUAUCGGAACGUACCGAGUAAUGGGGGAUAUCCAAUCGAAAGAUUGGCUAAUACCGAAUACGUCCUGAGGGAGAAAGCGGGGGAUCGCAAGACCUCGCGUUAUUCGAGCGGCCGAUAACUGAUUAGCUAGUUGGUGGGGUAAAGGCCUACCAAGGCGACGAUCAGUAGCGGGUCUGAGAGGACGAUCCGCCACACUGGGACUGAGACACGGCCCAGACUCCUACGGGAGGCAGCAGUGGGGAAUUUUGGACAAUGGGGGCAACCCUGAUCCAGCCAUGCCGCGUGUAUGAAAAAGGCCUUCGGGUUGUAAAGUACUUUUGUUAGGGAAGAAAAGGGAAGUGCUAAUACCACUUUUUGCUGACGGUACCUAAAGAAGAAGCACCGGCUAACUACGUG
RNAcentral lists this ribosomal RNA (490 nucleotides) under uncultured bacterium. Its description in RNAcentral is "partial 16S ribosomal RNA". It matches the Rfam family "Bacterial small subunit ribosomal RNA", at positions 30 to 507 of the family's 1533-position model. The record is from RNAcentral.